Molecule: long non-coding RNA, 1233 nt
Organism: Hyla sarda
Lineage: Eukaryota; Metazoa; Chordata; Amphibia; Anura; Hylidae
Exons: 6
Source: RefSeq, a predicted model, not a curated record
AUCCUGCGCAUCAAAUCUGCGCAGAAUACUGUACGUGUGAAUAGACCAUUAAAGAGAAACUCUACCUUUAUUAUGUUGUGCUCUCACAGCCUAGCUCUAAAAGUUAUAUAAGUUUGCAAUUUACACAGUUACACAACUGUUUACACACACACCUCCAUUCCUACUGUAGCCUCUAACAACAAGCUGUGUACAUUCAACUCUGCUACAUCAUGGAUGUGUGUGUGUGAACACAGUCCAACAGCGCAACUAAGGUCCAUAACAGGGACUGCACGACAAACAGAAAAUAAUCACAACUUAUUUACUGCUUAGUUAUGGGGUCAGAACCUAGUGUCAAUUCUUAAGAGAUGUGGCUACCCACUGUGAUUUUCAUGCAAACCCUACAACACCCACAAGUGAGACUCAUAACAUUGCAUUUCACCCUGUAGAUAAGUUACAGAUGUAGCUGAGCUGAGUUUGUCAGUUGAAAUGAAACAGUAACACAGUCCUGUAGAGUUCCAUGACAAGUGAAUGCUCACAACACAAGUAGAGAUAGUAACAUGUUCUGCAAGACUAAUACUGUGCACUGGGAUCAUUUCCAGAUACAAAUACUGGAAAACCUUGGGAUUUCUGGACAUAAGCCAGAAUUAUUAACUGUGGCAUAUUCUGCAGCUGCAGAGCAUUAGCCCUGAGAUGAAGCCAGUACAGUAUAUCCUGCACACAUAAUAGAUAGAAAGCAACUAAACUAGAGGAACAAAGAAACAGAAGUCAGAAACAACAUAUCCGGAAGCUGGCCCCUUUUUCUUCCAGUGGCUUGCUGUGCACCUCGGCCUCCGCCAUGUUGUGUUCGAACUCAAGAACACUCAGCAGGGCCAAGCAUGUGUAUAGAGGGAUUGCAUGAGAUUACUGUCAGCAGGGCAGAGUCGGUCAACAGGUUUUGUAGAUAAUUGUUAAACAGCGGUAUUCACAUCCUGGAGACAGCAUUCCACAUGUGUCCUUAUGAUGCUCCAUGACUCAUGUUAUUCUAGCAUAUGAAUGAAGUGAAGUGAAGCAGUCGGCAUUUCGGCUGGAUGUCCGGUGCACGUGGAGAGACAAUAAAAUGUAAAGAGAGGUCCUGGCAGGUAAAGAAACAUUUCAAUGCAAUACUUAAUACAUGUCUCCAAUGGAAUCGCCUGUUCAUGCCAAUGUAAAAAGCAGUGCUCGAUUCUCUGCAGAACAUGUACACAUAAGGGAAGUCAUAUGAGAAGUAUAAAUGAA